CUUUCUUUGCUGAAGGGCACAGCUAUUCCAAAAACCCGCCAUCAUUUCCUCUUUUAGGUGAAAGAUGAUAGGGCUUCCUGCUCCUGUUAGCCUAGGAUGCUUUACCAUAGCUGGCUGGUUUCCUUUCACGGGACCCAUAUCUCUGUAAAUGUUCCCUUUGUCGAACUCAUCCUACCAGCACGUAGACUGAUACAUUUGCUUAGACCAAAGCAGGGUGGGACUGUUGAUGGAGAAGAGAGCACUGAAGGAGUAUUGGUGGGAGGCUGGCCGGCUUCCCAUUAUAGAAGCUCACCUCCAGGUGGCUAGGUGUAAUCACAGCCAAUCAAGAACACCCACCCCAUUUUGGAUCUGGAGCCAGAAGCAGAACAGUGAAGAAUUUUCUUCUCUUGGCAGCCACCGUCAGGAAGCUGCCAUGGACUGGAAACUGCCACAUCCAGGGAAUUGCUACUCCAGAAUCUGCCGCACUUGCUAUGAUAUUAACUAGUGACAUGGAUGUCCUGCACCCUGCCUCCUGGUGCCCAAGAAGCUCCAGUCACUGUGAUCUCAGUUAACCACCACCACUGGAAAGCUCCUCCUCUCUGAUUGUGCUUAUCACAGAGCCAGCAGCAGAUGGCCUCUGCCUCACUCACACCCUCCCUCUGCAUCCAGCAUGAUAACUUCUGAUGGUUGAUCCUGUAUCACAAGGAGUCCCAAUUGCAAGAAUGUCCAUGGGAUGGAGCUUUAAGCGUCUCAGUUCUACAGAACAGGAAAGCAAGCUGGAAGGAGAUUGGAAUGGUUGUUCUGUACCAACCCAGUUAUCUACCAAGUGCAUCAUGAAAUAAUUUGGUUUUUUAAAUCUUUUUUUUUUUUUUUUUUAAGAUUUUACUCAUUUAUUUGACAGAGAGAGAGAUCACAAGAAGGCAGAGAGGCAGGCAGAGAGAGAGAGAAGCAGGCUUCCCAAUUAGCAGAGAGCCCGAUGCGGGACUUGAUCCCAGAAACAUGAGAUCAUGACCUGAGCCGAAGGCAGAGGCUUUAACCCACUGAGCCACUCAGGAGCCCCCAAAUAAUUUGUUUUAAAGACAGGAGAACCCUUGAUGGCACUAGCCCAGAUCUGAGGGUAAAUGUGGACACUGUGUGUGUGUGUGUGUGUGUGUGUGUGUGUGUAAACUAAGGAGGAAUCCGAAAGAAUGUCUUUCCCAGAUAGUCUUCUCGAUUCUACAGGAAAGGCCAAUGUAAGACUGGCUGAAUUCUGUGCCUGAGAAGUAAUAGGAAGAGAAGGGUCUAUAUUGCCUACUUUUUUCUCAGUUAGUGUCUGACCCUUUUCCCCUUCCUGAUCUUGGUGCUAUAGCUCAGAGCCUGGGCCUACUUUGUUUAAAACCUGGCUUUGUCAUCUGUUGUCUCUGUUAAGUGUUCAAGCAAGAGUAUCUAGGAUUAGUUCUCUCUUUAUGUAAUCUUAACUGUAUCUUUUCCUUAGUUAAGACAUACAGACACAUAUUUCCUGUUUUCUAAAAAACUCAGUGCUAAGUAUAAUGGCAUUUUCCAUACUGUUUCU
RNAcentral lists this long non-coding RNA (1531 nucleotides) under Mustela putorius furo (domestic ferret). RNAcentral describes it as "lncRNA (ENSMPUG00000031117.1)". Lineage: Eukaryota; Metazoa; Chordata; Mammalia; Carnivora; Mustelidae. The record is from RNAcentral.